GGGGCAGGCCAGUUCUCCUGCUUUCUUACCCUGAGAAUCGUCUCUCCCACACCUGGACCACCAGGGCCAGCUCUACUGUGUUGCCCAGGAUUCAGCUUGCUGCACACAGUGUGUUGCUAAGUGACCUUAUUGGAGCAGUUUCUGUGUAAGAGCCUCCAGGAAAUACGAGUUCUAGGGAAGAAGAGCUUGUGAAUAAGGAGGGAGAUUUUAAUGCACCCGCUAAGGUCUCCAGCUCUGGCUCUUUGGCUCAUCAGAUGGGAGGAUACAUACUUACUCUAGAGCUGUGAUAUGCCAUACCACCUCAGGACUCUGCCAGCAGGAAGGCCAUCAUCAGAUAUAGCUUCUUGAGCUUGGACUGGAACA
Cricetulus griseus (Chinese hamster) is the source of this 363-nucleotide non-coding RNA. The record is from RefSeq and is a predicted model, not a curated record. NCBI's taxonomy places the organism in Eukaryota, Metazoa, Chordata, Mammalia, Rodentia, Cricetidae.